This 200-nucleotide microRNA precursor is filed under the name Oryza sativa Indica Group (long-grained rice). RNAcentral's name for it is "MIR812 microRNA precursor family". It matches the Rfam family "MIR812 microRNA precursor family". Lineage: Eukaryota; Viridiplantae; Streptophyta; Magnoliopsida; Poales; Poaceae. The record is from Rfam by way of RNAcentral.
AAUAAGUGUAGUUUUAUAUUACUUGUCUAACGUUCGACCGUUCGUUUUUUAAAAUUUUUUUAUGAUUACUAUUUUUAUUUUUAUUAUAUGAUAAAACAUCAACAAUAAUUCAUGUGUGACUAAUUUUUUUAUUUUUUUUAAAUUUUCAAAUAAGAUGGACGUUUAAACGUUGGACACGGAUUUUUAUGGCUGGAAUGAAG